RNAcentral lists this ribosomal RNA (253 nucleotides) under uncultured bacterium. RNAcentral describes it as "partial 16S ribosomal RNA". It matches the Rfam family "Bacterial small subunit ribosomal RNA", at positions 524 to 776 of the family's 1533-position model. The record is from RNAcentral.
UACGUAGGUGGCAAGCGUUACUCGGAAUCACUAGGCGUAAAGCGCAGGUAGGUGGUUUGGUAAGUCUUUUGUGAAAGCUCCUGGCUCAACUGGGAGAGGUCAAAGGAAACUACCAGGCUAGAGUUUGGUAGGGGAGACUGGAAUUCCUGGUGUAGCGGUGAAAUGCGUAGAUAUCAGGAGGAAUACCUAUGGCGAAAGCAGGUCUCUGGGCCACAACUGACACUGAGCUGCGAAAGCUAGGGGAGCAAACAGG